RNAcentral lists this non-coding RNA (23 nucleotides) under Cricetulus griseus (Chinese hamster). Lineage: Eukaryota; Metazoa; Chordata; Mammalia; Rodentia; Cricetidae. The record is from RNAcentral.
GUUAGCAGGAUGGAGUUGGCUGG